This 165-nucleotide ribosomal RNA is filed under the name Malacothrix saxatilis var. tenuifolia. RNAcentral describes it as "5.8S ribosomal RNA". It matches the Rfam family "5.8S ribosomal RNA". Rfam says of the family: 5.8S ribosomal RNA (5.8S rRNA) is a component of the large subunit of the eukaryotic ribosome. It is transcribed by RNA polymerase I as part of the 45S precursor that also contains 18S and 28S rRNA. Functionally, it is thought that 5.8S rRNA may be involved in ribosome translocation. The record is from RNAcentral. Lineage: Eukaryota; Viridiplantae; Streptophyta; Magnoliopsida; Asterales; Asteraceae.
CAAACGACUCUCGGCAACGGAUAUCUCGGCUCACGCAUCGAUGAAGAACGUAGCAAAAUGCGAUACUUGGUGUGAAUUGCAGAAUCCCGUGAACCAUCGAGUUUUUGAACGCAAGUUGCGCCCGAAGCCAUCCGGCCGAGGGCACGCCUGCCUGGGCGUCACGCA